This 331-nucleotide ribosomal RNA is filed under the name uncultured eukaryote. RNAcentral describes it as "partial 18S ribosomal RNA". It matches the Rfam family "Eukaryotic small subunit ribosomal RNA", at positions 1470 to 1796 of the family's 1831-position model. The record is from RNAcentral.
CCCUUAGAUGUUCGGGGCCGCACGCGUGCUACAAUGAGAGACGCAACGUGUGUCCUUCCCCCUUGCCCGAGACGGCUAGGUAAUCAUGACAAAGUCUCUCGUGAUAGGGACUGGGGCUUGUAACUGUUCCCCACGAACGAGGAAUACCUAGUAGGCGCGUGUCAUCAGCGCGCGCCGACUACGUCCCUGCCCUUUGUACACACCGCCCGUCGCUCCUACCGAUUGAGUGGUCCGGUGAGGCUUUGGGAUCUGAGCGGAAAGAGCGUUUCGCUGUUUCUGCUCGGAAAACUCAGUCGAACCUUAUCAUUUAGAGGAAGGAGAAGUCGUAACA